UGAAAUCUAUGAGGGCUGAUCUUUUGGAAGCGCAAAUAUUGGACAGAAAUAAGAUGGACGUAGGUGUCGAAGCGAAUUGGCCACAGUUCAAGUUUUUCUAAGCUCUCUCAAAAUGCACCACAAUCUGUAUAUAGAUUUCUCAUGCAUAGUCAUGCGGUACGCAAUGAUAUUGGGUAUGAGUACGAGAAAGGUCCUGGGGGAUCAAUUGCUCGCCAACUAUAGAAAAAACCCUCUCCCACUCCCUUUCUCAACUGCUUUUAGGUCCUUUGGACCCACUUUGCGAGCGACUAACAAAAGAAUAUUUCUGGUUCCAGACUGAUGAAAGCCAUGGAGGAUCCUGUUGAGUAUGAAUUGUCUUCUGAUGGCAGUGGACAUCAACCUCAACGCCAUUGCUCCAUCAAUGUGCUCGAUUUAUGUUUAAAGUACCUCUGAACUUUGUGAUGACAUAUGGUUAAUUUAUGCCUUAUUUUAUAGUC
Molecule: long non-coding RNA, 476 nt
Filed under: Eucalyptus grandis
Lineage: Eukaryota; Viridiplantae; Streptophyta; Magnoliopsida; Myrtales; Myrtaceae
Description: long non-coding RNA (EGRA_LNC006729)
Source: RNAcentral